This 30-nucleotide non-coding RNA is filed under the name Homo sapiens (human). Lineage: Eukaryota; Metazoa; Chordata; Mammalia; Primates; Hominidae. The record is from RNAcentral.
UCUGGACUGAGGCCACCAGGUGAGCCAUGC